GCAAACUUGGUCAUUUAGAGGAAGUAAAAGUCGUAACAAGGUUUCCGUAGGGUAAGUUCGAGCCAUCCCUCUCCCGCCGGAGCCUCAGCUAACGUGUUUCCAGUGAACCUGCGGAAGGAUCAUUACCGUGAGGCGGCAUGGCAUCCCCAUGCCCGCUGAACCCUUCGUGUACCAUCUGGUUGCUUCGGCGGGCCGUCCGGUCCCCCGGCCGUCGGCCCUCGCGUCGGCGUGCGCCCGUCGGAAGACCGCAAACCUCUUCUUCUGGAGUGACGUCCGAGCCCUGAUAGAAUUGACCAAAACUUUCAACAACGGAUCUCUUGGUUCCGGCAUCGAUGAAGAACGCAGC
RNAcentral lists this unclassified non-coding RNA (346 nucleotides) under uncultured fungus. RNAcentral's name for it is "partial contains small subunit ribosomal RNA, internal transcribed spacer 1, and 5.8S ribosomal RNA". The stretch from base 1 to 125 matches the Rfam family "Eukaryotic small subunit ribosomal RNA", at positions 1759 to 1831 of the family's 1831-position model. The record is from RNAcentral. Lineage: Eukaryota; Fungi.